Molecule: small nucleolar RNA, 165 nt
Organism: Camelus dromedarius (Arabian camel)
Lineage: Eukaryota; Metazoa; Chordata; Mammalia; Artiodactyla; Camelidae
Source: Ensembl
CUUCCUUUGAUCAUGACAGCCAAAAAUACUACAUGAGUGAAAAUGUGUCUUAAUCCAAUGAUUAAAAAAAGAAUCACCGUGACGUCAGAGCACAGAGGAAGCGGCUAUUUCUACACUCAGUGCUCAGAACAGUGGGCACUAAGAAUGGUUUGUAGCUGGACAGUA